RNAcentral lists this ribosomal RNA (433 nucleotides) under uncultured bacterium. RNAcentral's name for it is "partial 16S ribosomal RNA". It matches the Rfam family "Bacterial small subunit ribosomal RNA", at positions 29 to 507 of the family's 1533-position model. The record is from RNAcentral.
AACGAACGCUGGCGGCAUGCCUAACACAUGCAAGUCGAACGAGACCUUCGGGUCUAGUGGCGCACGGGUGCGUAACGCGUGGGAACCUGCCUUUAGGUUCGGAAUAACUCAGAGAAAUUUGUGCUAAUACCGGAUGAUGUCUUCGGACCAAAGAUUUAUCGCCUUUCGAUGGGCCCGCGUUGGAUUAGCUAGUUGGUGGGGUAAAGGCCUACCAAGGCGACGAUCCAUAGCUGGUCUGAGAGGAUGGUCAGCCACACUGGGAGUGAGACACGGCCCAGACUCCUACGGGAGGCAGCAGUGGGGAAUAUUGGACAAUGGGCGAAAUGCUGAUGCAGCAAUGCCGCGUGAGUGAUGAAGGCCUUAGGGUUGUAAAGCUCUUUUACCCGUGAUGAUAAUGACAGUACCGGGAGAAUAAGCUCCGGCUAACUCCGUG